UGCCGGAUAACAUAUAGAACCGCAUGGUUCUAUAGUGAAAGAUGGUUUUGCUAUCACUUAUAGAUGGACCCGCGCCGUAUUAGCUAGUUGGUAAGGUAAUGCUUACCAAGGCGACGAUACGUAGCCGACCUGAGAGGGUGAUCGGCCACACUGGAACUGAGACACGGUCCAG
Molecule: ribosomal RNA, 172 nt
Filed under: uncultured bacterium
Lineage: Bacteria
Description: partial 16S ribosomal RNA
Rfam family: Bacterial small subunit ribosomal RNA
Source: RNAcentral